This 646-nucleotide ribosomal RNA is filed under the name Potamonautes brincki. RNAcentral describes it as "SSU rRNA". It matches the Rfam family "Eukaryotic small subunit ribosomal RNA", at positions 685 to 1326 of the family's 1831-position model. The record is from RNAcentral. Lineage: Eukaryota; Metazoa; Arthropoda; Malacostraca; Decapoda; Potamonautidae.
CAGCCGCAACAGCCCGCUGGCUCGCACGGGGUGCUCUUCAUCGAGUGUCCCGCGUGGCCGGCAGAGUUUACUUUGAAAAAAUUAGAGUGCUCAAAGCAGGCUACACUGACAGCCUGAAUGCCUAUGCAUGGAAUAAUGGAAUAGGACCUCGGUUCUAUUUUGUCGGUUUUCUGAACCCGAGGUAAUGACUAAUAGGAACAGGCGGGGGCAUUCGUAUUGCGACGCUAGAGGUGAAAUUCUUGGACCGUCGCAAGACGAACUACUGCGAAAGCAUUUGCCAAGGAUGUUUUCAUUAAUCAAGAACGAAAGUUAGAGGUUCGAAGGCGAUCAGAUACCGCCCUAGUUCUAACCAUAAACGAUGCUGACCAGCGAUCCGCCGGCGUUAUUCCCAUGACCCGGCGGGCAGCUUCCGGGAAACCAAAGUCUUUGGGUUCCGGGGGAAGUAUGGUUGCAAAGCUGAAACUUAAAGGAAUUGACGGAAGGGCACCACCAGGAGUGGAGCCUGCGGCUUAAUUUGACUCAACACGGGGAACCUCACCAGGCCCAGACACCGGAAGGAUUGACAGAUUGAGAGCUCUUUCUCGAUUCNGUGGGUGGUGGUGCAUGGCCGUUCUUANUUGGUGGAGCGAUUUGUCUGGUUAAUUCC